UGGGGAAUUUUGGACAAUGGGCGAAAGCCUGAUCCAGCAAUGCCGCGUGUGUGAAGAAGGCCUUCGGGUUGUAAAGCACUUUUGUCCGGAAAGAAAUCCUUGGCUCUAAUACAGUCGGGGGAUGACGGUACCGGAAGAAUAAGCACCGGCUAACUACGUGCCAGCAGCCGCGGUAAUACGUAGGGUGCAAGCGUUAAUCGGAAUUACUGGGCGUAAAGCGUGCGCAGGCGGUUUGCUAAGACCGAUGUGAAAUCCCCGGGCUCAACCUGGGAACUGCAUUGGUGACUGGCAGGCUAGAGUAUGGCAGAGGGGGGUAGAAUUCCACGUGUAGCAGUGAGAUGCGUAGAGAUGUGGAGGAAUACCGAUGGCGAAGGCAGCCCCCUGGGCCAAUACUGACGCUCAUGCACGAAAGCGUGGGGAGCAAACAGGAUUAGAUACCCUGGUAGUCCACGCCCUAAAACGAUGUCAACUAGUUGUUGGGGAUUCAUUUCCUUAGUAACGUAGCUAACGCGUGAAGUUGACCGCCUGGGGAGUACGGUCGCAAGAUUAAAACUUAAAGGAAUUGACGGGGUCAUAGCUGUUUCCU
RNAcentral lists this ribosomal RNA (586 nucleotides) under uncultured bacterium. Its description in RNAcentral is "partial 16S ribosomal RNA". It matches the Rfam family "Bacterial small subunit ribosomal RNA", at positions 355 to 1375 of the family's 1533-position model. The record is from RNAcentral.